UACGUAGGGGGCAAGCGUUGUCCGGAAUCAUUGGGCGUAAAGCGCGCGUAGGCGGCCCGGUAAGUCCGUUGUGAAAGUCAAAGGCUCAACCUUUGAACGCCGAUGGAUACUGCCGGGCUAGAGUCCGGAAGAGGCGAGUGGAAUUCCUGGUGUAGCGGUGAAAUGCGCAGAUAUCAGGAGGAACACCGAUUGCGAAGGCAGCUCGCUGGGACGUUACUGACGCUGAGACGCGAAAGCGUGGGGAGCAAACAGG
This 253-nucleotide ribosomal RNA is filed under the name uncultured bacterium. Its description in RNAcentral is "partial 16S ribosomal RNA". It matches the Rfam family "Bacterial small subunit ribosomal RNA", at positions 524 to 776 of the family's 1533-position model. The record is from RNAcentral.